This is an RNA transcript of Rattus rattus (black rat), 3882 nucleotides long. It is a transcript of the gene named ADP ribosylation factor like GTPase 13B, with no coding region annotated. Lineage: Eukaryota; Metazoa; Chordata; Mammalia; Rodentia; Muridae. The record is from RefSeq and is a predicted model, not a curated record. The transcript is spliced from 10 exons.
UAUACUUUGUAACAUUAGAAAGCUUCAUCCUAAAUAUAUAGUUCUGCUAAUAAGCAUGCUAUUACGUUGUAUGUAAGAUUUUUAUUCUGCAUGGCCCUGCAUAUCUCAAUACAGAGAUGAAAAUUCUUCAUGUGCUUUGUAAGACAGACAAACUGCAGAAAUUCCUGGUUCACUAACUAGAUAGCUGAGUCCUUCAUACUGAUUGGCCACUCCCUUUUCUUUCUUCCCUUUGUUCCUUAUAUCCUAGACAUAUAUUUUAUAAUAUCGGCUUAGAGGAUAAUAGAAAGAAUUAUCUUGGCAUCUUCACCAGCUCUUGCUUUUGAAACAUUAGCUUAUUCAUCAACAUAGUUCCUAGCCUCUGGAACAGCAGUUCUCAACCUGUGGGUUGCAACCUUCUUGAGGGGGUCAAAGGACACUUUCACAAGGGUCACAAAUCAGAUAUCUGGCAUAUCAGAGAUUUACAUUAUGAUUCAUAUCAGUACCAAAAUUAACAGUUAUGAAGGAGCAGUGAAAAUAAUUUUAUGGUUGUGGGUCAUCACAACAUGAGGAACUGUAUUAAAGCGUCACAGCAUUAGAACGGUUGAGCACCACUGAUGUCUGGUAAAUAGUAUAUAUUCAUUAAAUGAACAAAGAAAAUGACCUUAAAUUUUUAUUAUUUUAAGAAAGGUGACACUUGUGAUGGUCGGACUUGAUAAUGCUGGUAAAACAGCCACAGCAAAGGGAAUCCAAGGAGAGCAUCCUGAAGACGUGGCUCCCACUGUUGGAUUUUCUAAAAUUGAUCUGAGACAAGGAAAGUUUGAAGUUACCAUCUUUGACUUAGGAGGUGGAAAAAGAAUUCGGGGAAUUUGGAAGAAUUAUUAUGCUGAAUCCUAUGGGGUAAUAUUUGUUGUGGAUUCCAGUGAUGAAGACAGAAUGGAAGAAACGAAGGAGACUAUGUCAGAAGUGCUAAGACACCCUAGGAUAUCAGGAAAGCCUAUAUUGGUGUUGGCAAAUAAACAAGACAAGGAGGGGGCUUUAGGAGAAGCUGAUGUGAUUGAGUGUCUGUCUCUGGAAAAGCUGGUCAAUGAGCACAAGUGCCUGUGUCAGAUAGAACCUUGUUCAGCAGUCUUGGGAUAUGGAAAGAAAAUCGACAAGUCCAUUAAAAAGGGGCUUUAUUGGCUACUGCAUAUCAUUGCAAAAGAUUUUGAUGCCUUAAGUGAACGCAUCCAGAAAGACACAACUGAACAGCGAGCUCUUGAGGAACAAGAGAAAUGUGAGAGGGCUGAACGAGUAAGGAAGUUACGAGAAGAAAGAGAACAAGAGCAGACGGAACUUGAUGGGACCAGUGGUCUGGCUGAGAUGGACUCAGGACCAGUUCUUACAAAUCCUUUCCAACCCAUAGCAGCUGUCAUCAUUGAGAAUGAAAAGAAACAAGAAAAAGAGAAAAAGAAGAAGAUUGCGGAGAAGGACAGUGAUGUUGGCCACCCAGAACAUAAAGGGGAACAGGAGGGAGCAGAGUCACAGAAUGAGGCAGGUGGCUGCCUCAGGAACCCUCACAGGGAUGUGGUAAAUAGUUAUAAGGAGGCACUGUCACAGCAGCUGGACAACGAGGAUGAGCUAGACCAACGAGUGUCAGAACCAGGUGAUAACAGUAAGAAGAAAACCAAGAAACUAAGAAUGAAAAGGAGUCAUCGGGUAGAACCAGUCAAUACAGACGAGUCUGCUCCUAAGAGUCCCACGCCGCCCCCACCUCCCCCUCCUGUUGGCUGGGGAACCCCCAAAGUCACUAGACUUCCAAAACUUGAGCCUCUUGGUGAAACACGUCAUAAUGAUUUCUAUGGGAAGCCGCUGCCUCCCCUGGCUGUGCGACAAAGACCUAAUGGUGAUGCUCAGGACAUGAUCUCAUAACCAGGUCUGAUGGGUUAGUCUUUUUCAUAUUAGCAAGGUGAACUGAGACCUUUCCCCAAAGCAGAAAAGCCCUGAAUGCUGAUGCCUGGGGCAAGACAACCAUAAUGAUUUCAAGGACGAAAGAAUACCCAAGAACUUGACCUGAUAAUUUACUUCUCCAUGUUAUAUGGUUAAAGCAGAAAGGAAACAAAAUGACCAGUAGCUGACAAGAGCAUCUGGCCAAGUUAGCUAGUCAUGUUAUUGAUUCUUUGGUUUACACAUCCUGACUUUUGGACAUACUCCUGAAGAAACACCUCAGAAGUUGAGCCAGUGGACUCUUCAUACCUGAUUAUUUAAUAAUCUGUAUUUCUAUGCAUUAAACAUGUUUUAUAAGGUACAUGUACAUGAAAGGGGAAUUCCUGGGAAUUUAUAACCUAAAUUUUAACUAUUUUUAUAUUUUUUCUAAAUCUUUUGUUUAAGUUUGCUAUUGUAUUGACUACACACUCUCUACAGAUGCUCUGUUUAAACUGUCCGGAUAGAAAGUUGAUUUACUGAACACAUAUGAAGUAUACAAGAAGGUAUGCUUUGUGAUAACAUUGUUUCUAAAAUGUACACUCUGUCUUGAUGUAAUUUUAAAAUGUUACUAUUUUAAAAAGCAAAAUAUCUGCUCUUUAAUCUACCAAAUUACAUGAUUUGAAAGUGUUACCCAAAGAGAGGAUUCAGUUGUCAUUUGUUUUCCUUGGUGAUGAACUCAAUAAAUGUUAAGACAUCUGAGCUAUUUUUAAGAAAACAACUAAAUUUGUUAAUUGGUAAAAAUGUGUCCUGUGAGAUAUGACUCAAAGUCCUGAUAGAGAGCACUAAGGGACAAGGCAUUUUCUGAGCUCAGGGGCCCUCUCCAUGUUCUGUUAGCAGCUUUAUUGACCGCUUAGGGUUGUUUCCCUUCGUCCAUGCCUUGAAAUUAAAGUAAGAAGACUUAUAAAGGCUCCUGCAGGUCUAGAGACUUCAGGUUUACAACCAGUAUAGUCAUACGAAUGAAAAUGUUGGCUCAAGUCCUUUAAUAAAGAACUAGUUCUAACAUGACUUUUUAAUUUAGAUGACGACACUUGUUCUGCUCUUGAAUGUCAUUCAUAAGGCUUCUCUAUCCAUCUGCCCUUUACCAACCUUGAGAGAUAGUUUGGUAAUGAUUUAUAAUGUAAUAUUCAAUGGAAGGCAUGCCUUUAAGUCAAGGUGACAAUAACAAGGAUCAAGUCUCUUAUCCCCCUGUUAAGAUCAGUACUAUAUACUGGCAAUGGAUAUACUCUGCUUCUGAAUGAAAAGUCCACCUAAGACAGACUGAUCUGAUCAUUUGCCUUUUAAAUGUUUAAAUGUAUUGUGUUCACAGUUUAGCUCUUCUGACCUGGACUAGUCAGCUGACAUGAUGCUACUCAUCACUAGUAGAGUUUCUCUGAGUUUGGGCAUGGUACUACCUCUCACACUGAGGGAUAAAAAAGGUUUAAUUUCUAUGCAAAGCCCAUAUGUAGAAUUAGCAGGUGGCUCAGAUAGCAGAAUCACAAGACAGGACGUAAAUUCUGAACUGGAUUUUAGAGGAAAAAGUGCUCAUCUUCUUGGUUCAUUUUGUAAUAUUUAAAUUCCCUUUUAAAACUGAACUUAUACUUUUGCUAUCUUUUAAUGUUCAUCUAUUUUGAAGAUAUUCUUGCUUCCUACCAGUGUUUACUGUAAAGUACAAUAAUUACCGACUCUAGUUCAUGAUAACCGUUUUGUAAAUCCUGUCAGAUUUUAAUAUUUCAGUGCUUAUUUUUAUAUUAAAAAUAUUAAAAAUUAUUUUAAUUUGAUGCUCAUAGUCAUACAUUGAUAUUUUCUUGGUUCAUUCUGAUACAGUUACCUUAGAAAAGAUGUUUAAUAAAACACAAAAGAUUUUACCUUAACCUUACUAGGGACUAUAGAUUGUACCUGAAAAAAAAAUACAGAAUGGAAAUUCAAUAAAUUAAUUAGGAUUUAAACUGAGUCAACAAAAAA